This 942-nucleotide long non-coding RNA is filed under the name Pan troglodytes (chimpanzee). RNAcentral describes it as "long non-coding RNA NONPTRT005447". The record is from RNAcentral. Lineage: Eukaryota; Metazoa; Chordata; Mammalia; Primates; Hominidae.
AUGAGAUCUCAAAAGGAAGGACACUUGAGCAAAGUUGCACAGUUGAUCCUUGACUCAUGGUACAAGACUCUUUCCACUACUCUGAGAGCCCUGAGUCCUGAGAAGAAGAUGGAAGGAAGAUGACAAGCAUCCCUAAGCUGAUAACAUGAUGAAGAGCUCUUGUGUUCCUUGAUUUUCCCUCAGCUUUGUGAGGAAAAGAAUACCACAUGAAGAAAAACAACUCAAGCAGGGGUGAGAAGGAAACUUGGCUUAAGUUUGGGGGGCUUGAGUUUAUUAGGCUUUUGUCUUCUAAAAAUCUCCUAAGCUUCAUUGAUAAGAUGUUUAAUAUCAAUCUAGCUAAAAAGGACCAAUAUACCCCACAAAACACUGAGUUAGACAUAAAAACAGAAGGGUAAUAAAUGAAAUAUGGAAAACUACACAACCAGAAAAAUAAACAACUACCAGUACCCAAAACAUGGCUAAAUCUCACAGGAUUAUGUUGAGUGAAAGAAGCCAGCCACAAACCUGCACAUACUGAAUGAUCCCAUUUAUAUGAAGUUCAAGAACAGGUGAAACUAAUCCAUGGUGACAGAGGUCAGGAUCCUGGUUAACUUUGCAGGGACAGCAACUAAGAAGGGGCAAGAGGGAGCCCUCUGUGCUGAUGGGAACAUUCUGUAUCUUGAACUGAGUGGCGGUCACAUGAGUGUGCACAUAUGUAAAUAGUAAGGAGUUGUAGCUUAAGGUAUAUGCACCUCGCUGAAUGUAAGAUACUGUCUUAGUCCAUGUGUGCUGCUGUAACAAAAUAUCUGAGACUGGGUAAUGUGUAAAGAACAAAAAUGUAUUUCUCACAGUUCUGGUGGGUGGGAAGUCCAAGAUCAAAGCGCCAGCAUGUUUGUAGUCUAGUGAGGGCUGCUGUCUGCUUCCAAGAUGGCACCUUGAAUGCUGAGUCCUCCAGAAGUGAGA